UCCAGACUCCUACGGGAGGCAGCAGUGGGGGAUAUUGCACAAUGGGGGCAACCCUGAUGCAGCGACGCCGCGUGAGCGAUGGAGUACUUCGGUAUGUAAAGCUCUGUCAGCAGGGAAGAGAAUGACGGUACCUGACCAAGAAGCCCCGGCUAAAUACGUGCCAGCAGCCGCGGUAAUAUGUAUGGGGCAAGCGUUAUCCGGAUUUACUGGGUGUAAAGGGAGCGUAGACGGCAGAGCAAGUCUGAAGUGAAAGCCCGCGGCCCAACUGCGGGACUGCUUUGGAAACUGCCCGGCUAGAGUGCUGGAGAGGUAAGCGGAGUUCCUAGUGUAGCGGUGAAAUGCGUAGAUAUUAGGAGGAACACCAGUGGCGAAGGCGGCUUACUGGACAGUAACUGACGUUGAGGCUCGAAAGCGUGGGGAGCGAACAGGAUUAGAUACCCCGGUA
RNAcentral lists this ribosomal RNA (445 nucleotides) under uncultured bacterium. Its description in RNAcentral is "bacterial SSU rRNA". It matches the Rfam family "Bacterial small subunit ribosomal RNA", at positions 330 to 792 of the family's 1533-position model. The record is from RNAcentral.